Molecule: long non-coding RNA, 1059 nt
Filed under: Apteryx rowi (Okarito brown kiwi)
Lineage: Eukaryota; Metazoa; Chordata; Aves; Apterygiformes; Apterygidae
Description: lncRNA (ENSARWG00000009743.1)
Source: RNAcentral
CUGUUUUCCCUUUCCCUCCCCCUUCGCUUGGAAUACCGGGCAGGAAAAGGCCAUCGUUUGCCGCCUAAAGGGCCCAGCAACUUCAGGACGGUCGCGCGUGCGGGCGCGAGGACGGGGCAGCCCUCCCCAGGGUUAGCCCAGAAGCCGUGCCUGCGGGUGACAGCGGACUGGCGGGACACGGCAACCCGCAAGGCAAGACUAGAAAGGUUUCAUGCACGCAAGACCCUUCAGUCCUCCGCAAGCACUGCAGAACACGACUACCGCUAUAAUUCUGAGGGACUAACAACCUAUCGAGGCCUCACCAGAAAACAGGUUAAAGCAUCCUUAAGACUUUCCUGCCAGCCUCACACCAGAAGAGCCUCCUAACUCCACGUCCGGGUGCCUGUCACCUGUCACAGAUGAUAAGCAGUGCAAUCUGACAAGGAAACUCGUCCUCCUGUCAUGUGCAUGGCAACCUCCAGAUUCUCCUGGGGAGCAUGUCAGGAUGUUUACAGACUUCGUGACACUCUAGGAGAACAGCUGUGCUCUUAUCUUCUGUUACCUUGAAGAAAGUGAAAGAGGGAGAGGUUACUGCACGCGGCACAGAACCGACCAAUAUUAGCGGCGAGGCGCACACUCCUUGGCUUCAUCUAAAUAUAGUCUGGAAUUCUCCUGCUUUAAACUUGCAUAGCAGACCAAAAACAGCAGCAGCUCCAGUUUUGGAAGAAACUUAUCCAGUUAACAGAUCUAAAGAGAGAGCUGGAGUUUUCUCCAGGACGGACGUGACAAAAGCUUCAGUGAUAAUAAGAAAUUGCCAGCCUCUAGCUUGAAGACUUUUAAGCCUCUUUUCAGGGUGGGGAAUUGUAGGUAAUCUACAGAGAGCGGCCCAGGAAGAACAUCUGUUUGGUCCUGCCGCUGCUUUUCAAAUAGAAUCUGCAAAACAGGAUUUUUUUUUUUCCCCCUCCCCUUGAGAUCAAGCCUUACAAAAGUUUUUCUAGUUAGCUGCAACUGCUCAAGGUAUCGAGUACUGCCACAGUACCCAAAUCGUGUUUUAAGUGAAGAGGUACAGCAGCCAAGCCA